UGGGUCUACCUUGUGGACUGGGAGGGCUAUGGCCCUGAAGAUAGGUCCUGGGUACCGGCCUCUUACAUCGCCGACCCCUCCCUUAUCAAGGACUUUUACAGAGCUCACCCCGAGGCACCCCGAAGCUCGCCGGGAGUCUCGCGUAAGAGGGGGGGUGCUGUUAUGGGUCACACUCCUGCUUCCUCUCUUCCUGCUAUGUCUCCUCCUGCUGGGCGUCCGGACAAGCACACCACGGGCCACUCCCACAUGUGCUCUCUCUCCGCUGCGGGCGUGCCUCCUCGCACCUGCAAACACUCACCAAACUACACACCUGCCUGUGAUGAGCGAGCUGCCUUCAAGAGCAGACGCAGCCUGAGAUCCGACGCGAGAACGUAGCUUCACGUACCCAGUACACCUCCCGCCAUCCUUCCUUGUCGUCGAGUUGUGUGUCUCGUCACCUUGGACCUCCCGUGGAUUUUCCCUUGCCUUCCUGGACAUCGACCUCACGCCUGCCUAACGACCACGAAACCAAGCUCCUGCCCUUGACCAUCUGCCUGCUCCCCGACGUUCGAUUCCGCCUUGCUCCUUGCUGGACUUCUGCCUGGAUCCCAACACGCAUCCUCAACACCCUCUGGCAACCAUACUCAGAUAAGUCUCACACUUCGUCACACUACAUCUCUUUGGUUAAAUACACAUCUCACUCACACACUAAACUGUCAUUAAAUACGCUGACAGCUAA
Long non-coding RNA from Nerophis ophidion (straightnose pipefish), 718 nucleotides. RefSeq lists it as uncharacterized. The record is from RefSeq and is a predicted model, not a curated record. NCBI's taxonomy places the organism in Eukaryota, Metazoa, Chordata, Actinopteri, Syngnathiformes, Syngnathidae. The transcript has 2 exons.